ACUUACAUAGCUUAUAAUUAGAGUUUAAUAUUGAAGAUAUUAAGGAAAUAUUUAAUAUUUGUAAGUA
This 67-nucleotide transfer RNA is filed under the name Phycosecis limbata. RNAcentral's name for it is "tRNA-Phe". Lineage: Eukaryota; Metazoa; Arthropoda; Insecta; Coleoptera; Phycosecidae. The record is from RNAcentral.